AUACGGAGGGUGCAAGCGUUAAUCGGAAUUACUGGGCGUAAAGAGUACGUAGGUGGUUUAUUAAGUCAGAUGUGAAAGCCCCGGGCUCAACCUGGGAACUGCAUUUGAAACUGAUAAGCUAGAGUAUGGUAGAGGGGGGUAGAAUUUCUAGUGUAGCGGUGAAAUGCGUAGAUAUUAGAAGGAAUACCAGUGGCGAAGGCGGCCCCCUGGACCAAUACUGACACUGAGGUACGAAAGCGUGGGGAGCGAACAGGAUUAGAUACCCUAGUAGUCC
Molecule: ribosomal RNA, 274 nt
Filed under: uncultured bacterium
Lineage: Bacteria
Description: partial 16S ribosomal RNA
Rfam family: Bacterial small subunit ribosomal RNA
Source: RNAcentral